This 1239-nucleotide long non-coding RNA is filed under the name Phocoena sinus (vaquita). Its description in RNAcentral is "lncRNA (ENSPSNG00000015323.1)". Lineage: Eukaryota; Metazoa; Chordata; Mammalia; Artiodactyla; Phocoenidae. The record is from RNAcentral.
ACCACUGGACCGCCAAGGAAGUCCCUACCUCUAUCACUCCUUAAAAAGGAAUAUUUAGAAUGUAUUGUGUGACAUUGCUGAUUUGAGAUCAGUCUAGACUAAUCUCACCAAUCAGGCUAUCAAGUGGAGGAAGCAGGGUAACAGUACAGCUAAGAUCAUUCAACAGGAAAAAUUAAAACAGGAUGAGGCGCCACUUGGCUUCCACUGGCCAUUUGGUAAGCUUCUAGGCCAUAACAUACCCAAAACGUCCAGGUGUUCAGAUUUUCCUGUGUAGUGGAAUAUCUCAAAAAUAUAUAUCAAGUAUGCAGUACUGUCAUAGAGUUUCAAUCCGUUAUGAAAGGCAGGGUAAGUAAGAUAGCUGAAGUCAAGCAUUGUCUACCUCAGGGUCGGUAAACUACAGCUUCAAUCUCAAUAUUAAGUUUAUCAUUCUCACUACCUAUCUUUUAUGCUCACUCUCUUUAGUAUCCUAAUUCCAGUAAUCCUGCAACUGCACCAAGACCAAAAUCCACUGAUACAGAUCACAUUUUCACUGUCCCUCACCUCUUCAUGUGUACAUUUCCCACUUUGCCCACCUUAAAAUCCAUAAUCCAUCAUUAUAAGCACUGUUUCUGCAUGUCUCCCCUGUGUCAUCAGGUUUUCCCUUUACUGCUCUGUGAUCAACAUACAAAUAGGCUAUUAUUUAUCCUACGUUAAAAAACAUUUCAACUCCACUUCUCCCUCCUGCUGUUGUGUCACUAUUGUAGCUUCCCCUUUACAUUGAGACCACUCAGAAAGACUUGUUGAUGUUCACUGUUUUGUCUCUUCCCAUUAUUUUUAAGUAUACAGUGUAAUGAGUUUUGACAAAUGUAUGCAUAUAAUCAGCAUUCUAUUAAUACUUAGAACGUUUCCUUCACAGCAGAAAGUUUCCGUGUGCCACUUUGCAGUCAAUACUUAGCCCUACUCUCCUCCCUGGGCAAACACUAAUCAGACUUCUAUCAAUAUAAAUUUGUUUUGCCUGGUUUAGAACUUCAUAUAAAUGGAAUCAUGUAGUAUGUACUCUUUCAUUUCCAGCUUCUUUCAGCACAGUGUUUUUUGAGAUUCAUCCAUGUUGAUAUGUGUCAGUAGUCUAUUUUUUUAUUACUGGAUACUAUUCCACUGUAUAAAUGGGAUUCUGCUCAUUUGUUUAUCCAUUCACCUGUUGUCGAACACUUAGACUGUUUCCAGGUUGAAGCUGUUACGAAUAAAGCUGCUGUGAACAUU